AGGACGAACGCUGGCGGCGUGCCUAACACAUGCAAGUCGAACGGACUGAUUCCUUCGGGAAUGAAAGUUAGUGGCGGACGGGUGAGUAACGCGUGAGCAACCUGCCUUUCAGAGGGGAAUAACGUUUGGAAACAGACGCUAAUACCGCAUAACGCAUAGGUGUCGCAUGGCAUUUAUGCCAAAGGAGCAAUCCGCUGAAAGAUGGGCUCGCGUCCGAUUAGAUAGUUGGCGGGGUAACGGCCCACCAAGUCGACGAUCGGUAGCCGGACUGAGAGGUUGAACGGCCACAUUGGGACUGAGACACGGCCCAGACUCCUACGGGAGGCAGCAGUGGGGGAUAUUGCACAAUGGGCGAAAGCCUGAAUGCAGCAACGCCGCGUGAGGGAAGACGGUUUUCGGAUUGUAAACCUCUGUCUUUGGUGACGAAUAAAUGACGGUAGCCGAGGAGGAAGCCACGGCUAACUACGUGCCAGCCGCAGC
RNAcentral lists this ribosomal RNA (480 nucleotides) under uncultured bacterium. Its description in RNAcentral is "bacterial SSU rRNA". It matches the Rfam family "Bacterial small subunit ribosomal RNA", at positions 26 to 518 of the family's 1533-position model. The record is from RNAcentral.